UGCACUCACUACUGUAAAUCGCUCUGGAUAAGAGUGUCUGCCAAAGGACUGUAA
Molecule: non-coding RNA, 54 nt
Organism: Salmo salar (Atlantic salmon)
Lineage: Eukaryota; Metazoa; Chordata; Actinopteri; Salmoniformes; Salmonidae
Source: Rfam